GGUUAUAAUAGUUUAGGGUUUCUGGGAAGAAUUUUGAAACUGUAAGUACUUGAAAUUAUACAAUAUAAGUUCCACUCAAGAUUUUGGUGUUAGUAGUUGCUCAGAGCUAACUCCACAUCUGGAUCCUGAUAGAUUAACCAAAGAGGGGCAAAUUAAAUGUUAUGAAUUUGAAGAAAGAAAUAAAAUUAUGAUUUUUAUAAAAUGAUUACUAGAACGACAGUAAUGAUGACUAGCCAGCCAUAAACUCAUGGUUUUUGCUUCUUAGAUAUUCAUUUAGAUAACCCAGAAAUACAGAUACCUCAAUUUUACUGUUUCAAAUUAAACCCAAAUAAAAAACAUUGAACAAUUAAAACACACACAAGAUAUAUAUGUCAAUUUUACUGUUUCAUUGCCUGAAAUAUAAUGGUCCCCUUUUGCAUGUUUAAGAUAUAUGCACACAUAAACUAGUUAACCAGUUGUUUCAGUCACUACAUCUCAAAUUGUAUAAACCAAACUUCUUACCAAAAAAAAAAUUGUAUAAACCAAAGUUAAUUAUGUUAGCCCCAUGAUCAAAACAUAUCUUGACCUCAUGCCUUAUCAAAUAUUAAGUAGCCAAGUACAAAAUGAUCAUCAAUAUUAUCAUUACAUCGGUCAUCAUCAUCUUUUUAUUUUGUGUUCUUUUAACUCAACGAUCGUCAUCAAGUAAUAGGUACGUCUAUAAUAGGGAUGAUAUGAUUCGG
RNAcentral lists this long non-coding RNA (719 nucleotides) under Capsella grandiflora. Its description in RNAcentral is "long non-coding RNA (CGRA_LNC000131)". The record is from RNAcentral. Lineage: Eukaryota; Viridiplantae; Streptophyta; Magnoliopsida; Brassicales; Brassicaceae.